UGAGGAACAUGACCUUCGGCGGGGGAUAGCCGGCCCAACGGCCGGGUAAUACCGCGUACGACCACUUUGGGACAUCCCUCGGUGGUGAAAGCAGCAAUGCGCCGAUGGAGUGCCUCGCGGCCUAUCAGCUAGUUGGUGAGGUAACGGCUCACCAAGGCAACGACGGGUAGCUGGUCUGAGAGGAUGGCCAGCCACAUUGGAACUGAGACACGGCCCAGACUCCUACGGGAGCAG
This 234-nucleotide ribosomal RNA is filed under the name uncultured bacterium. RNAcentral describes it as "partial 16S ribosomal RNA". It matches the Rfam family "Bacterial small subunit ribosomal RNA", at positions 118 to 347 of the family's 1533-position model. The record is from RNAcentral.